Molecule: ribosomal RNA, 120 nt
Filed under: Lepisosteus oculatus (spotted gar)
Lineage: Eukaryota; Metazoa; Chordata; Actinopteri; Semionotiformes; Lepisosteidae
Source: RNAcentral
GCCAGCAGCCAUAUCACUCUGCAACACACAAAUGAGUCACCCACUGAAGCUAAGCAGGUGUGAGCCUGGUCAGUACCUGGAUGGAAGACUUCCUGGAAAAAACUAAGGUUGCUGCUGGAA